RNAcentral lists this ribosomal RNA (636 nucleotides) under Bacillus sp. (in: firmicutes). Its description in RNAcentral is "bacterial SSU rRNA". It matches the Rfam family "Bacterial small subunit ribosomal RNA", at positions 48 to 664 of the family's 1533-position model. Lineage: Bacteria; Bacillati; Bacillota; Bacilli; Caryophanales; Bacillaceae. The record is from RNAcentral.
CUAAUACAUGCAAGUCGAGCGGAUGUGAUGGGAGCUUGCUCCCUGAAGUCAGCGGCGGACGGGUGAGUAACACGUGGGUAACCUGCCUGUAAGACUGGGAUAACUCCGGGAAACCGGGGCUAAUACCGGAUAGUUCUUUUCCUCGCAUGAGGAAAAGUGGAAAGGCGGCUUCGGCUGCCACUUACAGAUGGACCCGCGGCGCAUUAGCUAGUUGGUGAGGUAACGGCUCACCAAGGCAACGAUGCGUAGCCGACCUGAGAGGGUGAUCGGCCACACUGGGACUGAGACACGGCCCAGACUCCUACGGGAGGCAGCAGUAGGGAAUCUUCCGCAAUGGACGAAAGUCUGACGGAGCAACGCCGCGUGAGUGAUGAAGGUUUUCGGAUCGUAAAGCUCUGUUGUUAGGGAAGAACAAGUGCCGUUCGAAUAGGGCGGCACCUUGACGGUACCUAACCAGAAAGCCACGGCUAACUACGUGCCAGCAGCCGCGGUAAUACGUAGGUGGCAAGCGUUGUCCGGAAUUAUUGGGCGUAAAGCGCGCGCAGGCGGUCUCUUAAGUCUGAUGUGAAAGCCCACGGCUCAACCGUGGAGGGUCAUUGGAGACUGGGGGGACUUGAGUACAGAAGAGGAAGAGGU